GCAGCAGUGGGGAAUUUUGGACAAUGGGCGCAAGCCUGAUCCAGCAAUGCCGCGUGCAGGAAGAAGGCCUUCGGGUUGUAAACUGCUUUUGUCAGGGAAGAAAUCUUCUGGGCUAAUACCCCGGGAGGAUGACGGUACCUGAAGAAUAAGCACCGGCUAACUACGUGCCAGCAGCCGCGGUAAUACGUAGGGUGCGAGCGUUAAUCGGAAUUACUGGGCGUAAAGCGUGCGCAGGCGGUUAUGUAAGACAGAUGUGAAAUCCCCGGGCUCAACCUGGGAACUGCAUUUGUGACUGCAUGACUGGAGUGCGGCAGAGGGGGAUGGAAUUCCGCGUGUAGCAGUGAAAUGCGUAGAUAUGCGGAGGAACACCGAUGGCGAAGGCAAUCCCCUGGGCCUGCACUGACGCUCAUGCACGAAAGCGUGGGGAGCAAACAGGAUUAGAUACCCUGGUAGUCCACGCCCUAAACGAUGUCAACUGGUUGUUGGACGGCUUGCUGUUCAGUAACGAAGCUAACGCGUGAAGUUGACCGCCUGGGGAGUACGGCCGCAAGGUUGAAACUCAAAGGAAAUUG
RNAcentral lists this ribosomal RNA (572 nucleotides) under uncultured bacterium. Its description in RNAcentral is "bacterial SSU rRNA". It matches the Rfam family "Bacterial small subunit ribosomal RNA", at positions 348 to 913 of the family's 1533-position model. The record is from RNAcentral.